ACCCCAUCCAUGCGUUGCGCCCCCAACUGCCCUUCCAUUGGUGCUCGCAUCUCCCCUUCCAUCCACACGCCGCGCCUCCAUCCAUGCCCCCACCCAGCUUGGAAACUCUGCAAAUCCAUGCCCAAAAUCUUCGGCCAUCGUCGCCCCCCGUGCCUCGCUCCCCUUCCAUUCGCCGUGAAUGUCGCCCUCAUCCAACCACCGGUGCAUCAGCCAGAUCCGUUCCAUCCAACCAGAUCUCGGCGAUAGUAGAGGACCAAAUGGUGGUGAAGGCGAUUCAUGAGGAGUGCCCCUGAGAGUCGCUCCCCAAUCGCCAUCGAUUUCGGCUGCCACCACGCCAUCGACCCUGGCCGCCCCCGCUCCCCCACGCAACAGUCGUCGCUAUCCCCUCCCUAUUCGUCAUCCGCGAUGCUCGCCGCCCCUGCUCCCCCACGCUGACUACACGCACCCUGCCAUCCUCGCCCUCCUCCGCGCACCGAAGGACGCUCGCCAUGCUCGCCUCCCUCCCCUCUGGCCAUUCCCUCACGCGCACUCGAAAAAAAGUCUAGCCCCCAAACUCCCCAGCGGGGGCGAGCCUGGGAGGAAGAGCCGUCGCCGCCAUGUAUGGCAGAACCAUCCGUGACCGCCUCGCUCCCCUUCAGCCCUUCCGUCGCGCGCGCUUGGAAAAAAGUCCAGCCCCAAACUCCCCAGCGGGGGUGAGCCUGGGAGGAAGAGUUGCCGCCUCCAUGUAUGGCAGAAUCGCCCACGACCGCCUCGCACUGUUUCGUUGCGAAGCCGCCUGACAGGACAAUGAACCUGAUGAUCUGGCACUACACCAUCCCCAGCAAGUAAGGGGAAGCAUCAUAGUCAUGGGAGGAGGGGAAGCGACGAAGGCGCGAGAGGGAUGGUAAACAUGGCCAGAUUCUGUACAUUAUUUAUGGAAUUAUGGUAGAUUUACGAGUCAUGCACUUUUGGUAGAUUCUGGCAACUCUUCUUCAAUAGAAAGAUUUUUUAUUGUUCACACCUUCCGUUUUGGACAUCGUCUUCAGCACAUGUCUUUGACUUUUUCCCUAAACAUUUGCUACUAAAACUUGUUGAAGAGAUAAUUUAUCUGCUAAUACUUUUUUUUGUUUUACUAUAGUAGACAUAAUUGUUACUUUCUGUAAUAAAUAAUAUUUCUGGAAUAUGAUUUGACAUUGUUAUAUGUCUAGAAAAUCAAUAGUGCUUUUAUUUCUCAGAUCUGACUGUACUAUUGAUUUAUGUGUCAUAUGCGCAUUGUUGUAUGCCAUCUUAAUUUGUGUUACCUGUGAACUAAUAGUAAUGUUUCUAAAGAUUUGCAUUUUCUUUUUAUAACCACCAAAAUUGUUUUGCUCUUAUUGCGAUAUUGAGAACUUAAGAAUAGAUUAUGGCAUUGUCAUGUUGUCUAAACCAUCUUAUUAUGACUAAACACUAUUUAGAUGAUUUAAACAAUUAUCGUUGUGCACUAAAAUUUUAUUUAAUAUUUUGUAUGCCGUUGCAACGCACGGGCAUCCAACUGAAAAGACAAGCACACAGACUCAAGAAACGGUAAAUAAACAUGUGUGUCACAAGUGAAUUGCUGGUAAAUAAACAUGUGUGCCACAGACUCUAUGAUUCAGACAUCGGAGGAAGACCAUGGAAUAAAAAGAGUUUGUACAAAGUAUGUACAAACUUUAUCAACUAAAUCACUCACUUUGCCAAGUAAAGCUUGGGACUUCCUGAUCAACAGUAAAUACUGGAUUGCUUCUGCUUUAGAUUAGAAAUUCAGAACGAGAAGUUUCCUUGACAGCACAUUGUUUUUAUGCUUCUGCUUUAGAUUAGAAAUUCCUUUCCAGAUGCUCACUAUUUAGCUUUGAUGUCUUUCACAGUGCUCUGGUCUUCCUCCGAUGUCUGAAGCUGAGGCUCAUGCUUUUGAAGUCAACUCUUUUGGCCUCUACAAUGAAUUAUCAGAGCUUGUUGAGUUAGGAGGUGCGGAUAACAACUUAAACACCAGCAAUGUGGAAACUACAGAUUACCUCAUGUUGCCACCUGACAGAGAACUGUCGGCUAAUGAUUACAUGGAACUAAACGAUCUCCUUGCUCUUGACCCAAGCUUCUCCAGUGAAUUUUCUGCUCAGGACAAUCAAUAUAUGCAGCAUCCUCUUGCUCAGUACAAUGGACAUUAUGAUCUGUCAGGUCCUUCGGAGCCAACAAUGCCUAGCAUUUUCGAUGUUUUUCCUCCCAAUAAUGGAGUCCUCGCAACAGAUGAUCCAGCCAACUACUUGGACCCAGCCAUGCAGUUCCCUUUCUCAUGAUUGGUCACCAUUUGUCAUGGAGCUUGCUGUUGCUACAACUCUAUCCACCCUGAACGUCAAGGACGUCAUUGAUGUCAUGCCUGGGCUCAUGAAAUCGUCUGUUGCUCUUCUGAACCAAGCCGACCUUGGCUGGUAUUUCUUGUAAGCACGGUGCUUGGAACAAUCUGCAUCGACUGCUGUAUGCUCCCAACUGGUUGAGCUAACGGCCAAUCUCGGCUCACUCUGCCGAGGAGAUCAUAGCCUGUAAAUCUUUGUUUAUGCUAUUACUUGUGUGUAUCGCAACCUGCCUGAUUACCAUUGUCUUGUGUUUUGAGUUUUGACAAUAUGCAAACCAUAAUAAUGUCGUAAUAUGGAACUCGUUUAUCAUGUUUAUUCCAUCCUCCCGUUAUGUGAGCUUUUGGAUGGUC
Molecule: long non-coding RNA, 2695 nt
Organism: Zea mays
Lineage: Eukaryota; Viridiplantae; Streptophyta; Magnoliopsida; Poales; Poaceae
Exons: 4
Source: RefSeq, a predicted model, not a curated record